UACGUAAUGCGAAUUGCAGGAUUCAGUGAGUCAUCGAAAUUUUGAACGCAUAUUGCACUUCCGGGUUAGUCCUGGAAGUAUGCCUGUAUCAGUGUCCGUACAACAAACUUGGUUUUCUUCUUUCCGUGUAGUCGGUGGAGGAUAUGCCAGAUAUGAAGU
This 159-nucleotide ribosomal RNA is filed under the name Peronospora belbahrii. RNAcentral describes it as "5.8S ribosomal RNA". The stretch from base 1 to 97 matches the Rfam family "5.8S ribosomal RNA", at positions 59 to 154 of the family's 154-position model. Rfam says of the family: 5.8S ribosomal RNA (5.8S rRNA) is a component of the large subunit of the eukaryotic ribosome. Lineage: Eukaryota; Oomycota; Peronosporomycetes; Peronosporales; Peronosporaceae. The record is from RNAcentral.